RNAcentral lists this ribosomal RNA (360 nucleotides) under uncultured eukaryote. RNAcentral describes it as "partial 18S ribosomal RNA". It matches the Rfam family "Eukaryotic small subunit ribosomal RNA", at positions 592 to 976 of the family's 1831-position model. The record is from RNAcentral.
CAAUAGCAUAUAUUAACGUUGUUGCAGUUGAAAAGCUCGUAGUUGAACUUUUGGUAGGAGCGACCUGGCCUUGGGCGCAUGCCCUUGUUUGCCGUGUGUCGUGUCUGGCCAUCCUUUUCCGCUUCGGCGGGAAUCUUUUACUGUGAGUAAACUGGAGUGCUCAAAACGAGACGUUUGUUUGGUACAUUAAAGCAUGGAAUAAUAAGAUAGGACCUGGUUACUAUUUUGUUGGUUUGCAUAGCUAGGUAAUGAUUAACAGGGACAGUUGGGGGUAUUCGUAUUUAAUUGUCAGAGGUGAAAUUCUUGGAUUUAUGAAAGACGAACGACUGCGAAAGCAUUUACCAAGGAUGUUUUCAUUAA